CAGUCGCCGCGGUAAUACGUAGGUCCCGAGCGUUGUCCGGAUUUAUUGGGCGUAAAGCGAGCGCAGGCGGUUUGAUAAGUCUGAAGUUAAAGGCUGUGGCUCAACCAUAGUUCGCUUUGGAAACUGUCAAACUUGAGUGCAGAAGGGGAGAGUGGAAUUCCAUGUGUAGCGGUGAAAUGCGUAGAUAUAUGGAGGAACACCGGUGGCGAAAGCGGCUCUCUGGUCUGUAACUGACGCUGAGGCUCGAAAGCGUGGGGAGCGAACAGGAUUAGAUACCCGUGUAGUCCCUGUCUCUUAUACA
RNAcentral lists this ribosomal RNA (301 nucleotides) under uncultured bacterium. RNAcentral describes it as "partial 16S ribosomal RNA". It matches the Rfam family "Bacterial small subunit ribosomal RNA", at positions 509 to 808 of the family's 1533-position model. The record is from RNAcentral.